This is a non-coding RNA of Rhopilema esculentum, 912 nucleotides long. The record is from RefSeq and is a predicted model, not a curated record. NCBI's taxonomy places the organism in Eukaryota, Metazoa, Cnidaria, Scyphozoa, Rhizostomeae, Rhizostomatidae.
GUCAGCGAUCAUUUCUGAGAUUGUGACGUCAAAUUUAUUGGUUACGCUCUUUGUAUAUAAAAGGCGAUUCAUCGGUUAUUUAGGCAGAAUUUCAGAUCGAUUCAGCAUCUGAGGUAAUACUGGCUGCUGUUAUCUUCGAAAGGAAAGCAAAGUUUUCAUUUUCCAAAUCUUGGGAAAUCAUUUAAACAUUCAUUGUAAGAAACACCUUCAAUCUUGUGAACGCUAAUCGAAAUCAAGAUGGGAAUUUGUUUUUCCAAAUGCAGUGUUGAAGAUGGUGAGUUCUUAAAGCUUUUACUUUCCAUGUUGUUGCUGGCAGUUUUGUUAUAUUUGUAAAAGUAUGAUCUGUAGGUGUUUUUUAAUUUUCUAAGCUUUUUUAAGAUCCAAAUGAUACCGUCUACUGAUGAUGCUAAGAUCUAAUGAUGUUAAGAAUAUUUUUUGUCUGUCCUUUUAAUUAACCUUUUAGCAGGGAGCCGUAAAUAAAUUUAAACAAAGCAAAAUAAAAAGUAAAUUUGACGAUACUAAAAAGUAAGUUAAAUUUGUUUAUAUGUUUGAAAUUGCUUUUUAGAAUGCACAGCAAAAUGCACAAAGCGUUCGUUGACAAGAAAUUGGAAGAAUAAGCAAAGACUGAAUUCUUCUACAAGGUCAAAGAGAACCAACACAGUUGCAGAUAUCAAGCCUUGUCUCGAUAUUUCCCAACCAUUUGCAACAUCGACACCAAGAGGAUGCCAAACAAAGAUGGUGCCGAAAAGCUACAACAUAUUUUCAGCCACCAAUACUGUAACAUCCGAUUCACUGGUCCACGACGUAACCAUGAUCAACCAAGGACAGAUUGAUAAAGAUUCUUAUGAAUUCGAAUCUGCCUCUGAUUUUUUCCCAGAUCCAGAAUCAGAUUUGACAAUCGUCUCUGUACUA